Molecule: long non-coding RNA, 866 nt
Filed under: Taeniopygia guttata (zebra finch)
Lineage: Eukaryota; Metazoa; Chordata; Aves; Passeriformes; Estrildidae
Description: lncRNA (ENSTGUG00000026095.1)
Source: RNAcentral
AAAGCAUGCAUUAGAAAAGUUUGGACCCAAACUUUUGGGUUUGGGUCUAGGAGAUGUCUACGAAGCAACCUUGGGGCAGGAGCAAAGAGCCAGAAAUUAGUGCUCUGCAUAUAUGAUCUUCAAGUAUUGUGAGACACUCAGACACUUUCCAGAUGUGAAAAAUCUCAGCAGGGAAACAAAGCAGCUUAUGGGAUGGGGAUGCUGACAGGACAUGGAAGAUAACUUCUGAAUUCCCAGCACAGCAGCAAAAAAGGCAACAAAAUGAGUGUGUCAUUGCAGCCAUUGAACCUGACCUGCCUCUAGCAAAGCUAAAACAUGGAAAUAUUCUCUGAGUUCCUCUGACCUGAAAUGUUGCAGAAAGCUCAUGCCAGCAUUCCAACUUAUUGUGUAAACAUGACCCCUAUGGUGGAAGGAGCUCUGGGAAUGCAGCAGCUUAAUGAGCAGGAAGAUGAAGGAGAUAAAUAUCAGAGCAAGCACUACUGGUGUGCUGAGAAGAUAAUUACAUCUGGUGUCUGUAACCCAGAAUGGUAAAACUCUCAACUAGAGAAUGCCAAAUAGCCACAAAAUGUGUUCUUGAUACGAGAUUCUACAGGACAGGAGCCCAAACCACCAAGGCACAGGAAAGGGAUAUGGCUGUGUCCACCUGAGACAUGGAAACUGAGGAUCACCAAUGCCAGAAAUGCAAGUAUUCAAUUUUUGAGACAGCUGAAGAGACAAUAGAGGAAGUUACUUGCAAUACAUUUCAGUACAAGUUAAAGACUUUGUGGUUAUUUAAAUUAUUCUAAAUUACUGAAAGAUUAUGGACCACGCUUAAGAUGAGUACUUCUUUUGCAAAAAUACAUUAACUAUAGCAAAUUAAAUUUGCC